Molecule: ribosomal RNA, 468 nt
Filed under: uncultured bacterium
Lineage: Bacteria
Description: partial 16S ribosomal RNA
Rfam family: Bacterial small subunit ribosomal RNA
Source: RNAcentral
GACGAACGCUGGCGGCGUGCUUAACACAUGCAAGUCGAACGGAAAGGCCCUGCUUUUGUGGGGUGCUCGAGUGGCGAACGGGUGAGUAACACGUGAGUAACCUGCUCUUGACUUUGGGAUAACUUCAGGAAACUGGGGCUAAUACCGGAUAGGAGCUCCUGCUGCAUGGUGGGGGUUGGAAAGUUUCGGCGGUUGGGGAUGGACUCGCGGCUUAUCAGCUUGUUGGUGGGGUAGUGGCUUACCAAGGCUUUGACGGGUAGCCGGCCUGAGAGGGUGACCGGCCACAUUGGGACUGAGAUACGGCCCAGACUCCUACGGGAGGCAGCAGUGGGGAAUAUUGCACAAUGGGCGGAAGCCUGAUGCAGCAACGCCGCGUGCGGGAUGACGGCCUUCGAGUUGUAAACCGCUUUCGCCUGUGACGAAGCGUGAGUGACGGUAAUGGGUAAAGAAGCACCGGCUAACUACGUG